RNAcentral lists this ribosomal RNA (510 nucleotides) under uncultured bacterium. RNAcentral describes it as "partial 16S ribosomal RNA". It matches the Rfam family "Bacterial small subunit ribosomal RNA", at positions 28 to 507 of the family's 1533-position model. The record is from RNAcentral.
GACGAACGCUGGCGGCGUGCUUAACACAUGCAAGUCGAACGAAGAGCGAUGGAAGCUUGCUUCUAUCAAUCUUAGUGGCGAACGGGUGGGUAACGCGUAAUCAACCUGCCCUUCAGAGGGGGACAACAGUUGGAAACGACUGCUAAUACCGCAUACGAUCUAAUCUCGGCAUCGAGGAUAGAUGAAAGGUGGCCUCUACAUGUAAGCUAUCACUGAAGGAGGGGAUUGCGUCUGAUUAGCUAGUUGGAGGGGUAACGGCCCACCAAGGCGAUGAUCAGUAGCCGGUCUGAGAGGAUGAACGGCCACAUUGGGACUGAGACACGGCCCAGACUCCUACGGGAGGCAGCAGUGGGGAAUCUUCCGCAAUGGACGAAAGUCUGACGGAGCAACGCCGCGUGAGUGAUGACGGCCUUCGGGUUGUAAAGCUCUGUUAAUCGGGACGAAAGGCCUUCUUGCGAAUAGUGAGAAGGAUUGACGGUACCGGAAUAGAAAGCCACGGCUAACUACGUG